GAUCAGUAGAACCAGUACUACAAGGCUUUAUUUGGAUUUGUUUCACAAUAGGAGUAGUUGUGUUGUUUGGUUGACACUGAGAAAAUGAUUCAAAUCAUGCCCCCAAAAAUGUGUUUGCAUUUUAGAUGUACUCAUCUGACCAUUCCCUUUGCAGAGAAGGAAAUCAUUCCUAUUUGCAGUCUGAAGAGAUGGCUGGAGAUAGAGUUCACUCAGUGAGUACAGAAGUGUCAAAAUAUUAUUAUUCAUAAUGACAAGUGGAGCUUCUGUUCCAGCCUGAGGAUUCUGAUGAAAUGACUUUCUAAUCCUACAGCCUAUUUCAUAUUCAUGGAGGAGGUUUAAGAGAAAUGAGGGAAGAAUCUGCAUCGAGCUUUAUGAACAGCUCGGAUACAAACUGAAGUUUCUGUGUAGUAAGAAACAUUCCUGAGCUGUGAUAUGCUGAUAUUCAUUUUGAAACCUACAAAUGCUGAUGUGUUUGUAUCUUGGGAUUUAACUUGGGCUAUUCCAGAGAAAGGAGCUUGACAUAAAAAUUUAACAUAUUCAAAGGCCUUUUUUUUCUUCACAAUUGGCCCCAAGCCCAAGUUGACCUUAUUUUAGUGCCAUUUCUUAUUAAAUAUUCUGGGGGCAAAGAGCAAGUUUUUCUUGGCAGAGGAGAAGCAGUCUUAUCAUUAUGAAAAUACUUGCAACGACUCAAAGUUCCUGGCACUUUUUGUUAUGUACAGAUAAAAUUUGUCAUGAUACAGGUGGUUGUAGAGUAACUACUGAGAAGUAACAUCUCUGGAGGGGUAUUUCAGACUCAGCUAGAAGGCAGGAGAAAAACAGCCUUUAUGUAUGUGAGAAAGAUCCCAGUUUUUUAUCUGCUUAUAAUAUUGGUGUCUGUAAAAUCAGUACCUUCUGCCUACUCUUUCCCACAAUUCUCAAAUUAUUGUUUUUCACCACUUUCCAAAAUAGUCACCUACGUGGUAUAUGGCUGACAUUUUUUUCUUUUUUAGUUAAAAUAAAUGACUGGCCAAUUUGCAUUUUUCCCUGCCUUUUCAGUGCUUACCAGUCUUUCAGUAGAAUGUCCCUCAAGCAGCAUGUCAUCUAAGGAUCUUAUUCAGUAACAUUUUAAUGUUGACUUCCAAGUUAUUAUUAGAAUAACGCAGGUACAUGAAUUGUUUGGUAUAGGACACUGCUAGUAUCAUGGGGUUGUGCCUGUGAAAAUGUAGGUGUCAACUACCACAGUAGAUGUUGUAAGGUACCAGAGACAUGGGCAUAGUGCUGGCAGCUGCCACUCAGUGAGAGCUGCGCCCUUGUUGGGUAGUAGUUAGAGCCAGGUGUUGAAAUCCCCUUUAUAGCUUCUUGAGAUCUCCUUAACAGGACAGAAGUCCUUCUGGUGCAUUGUGGGGUUAUUUGUCCUUGUUUCCUCAGUGUUUAAUUCAGCUACUCACAUCUAUCCCCUCAACUCCUCUGUGGCUUUGAUGAGGCCAAGUGAUCCAGAUACACUAUAGACAGUAGUUCAACUUCCAUUAUCAGUAUCUGCCACAGGAAUUGAUAUUUGUUCUUUUUUUAAUACCCUUGUGUCAACAUAAUAACAUGUUCUGCACUUAAUAUAUGAAAUUAGGUUUUACUGGAAAAAAAAAAGUGAGUUUCUUUAUUGUUUUUCCUUUUCUUAUCUUUUACUGAAGUCUCCUUACUUACCUUUUAUUUCUAAAUGACAUUCACAAUAUUAAACAUAGACUGUUUUGUACACUAUGUGAUAUUGCAGAAUCUAAUGAUAUGAUUCAGGUGCAAAUUGAGUCUCAAAAUGAAGCAUAGUACUCUCAGUGUGUUCGGAUAGUUCCAUGUCAUUAUUCAGCUUGGUUGCAGUCAAAAGUGUCUAAAUGAGACUAUGUGUAGAAAAAGAAAAUGCAUUUAAAAGACUGUCAAAUAAGACAUUGAACAGAAUGUAUUAGUGUGUACAUCUCUUCCUGUCUACAUACAUAGACACAAAAUGGUUGUGGAUUAUUGCAGUUUAUUGCUUAUGAAAGUAAAGCCAAAUGAUAAAUGUAUUUUUCACAAUACAUGUUAUUUAUUUGUAUCUCUGUAGUUGGUUUCAGUGGCUUGCUACUUCUUGCAUCCUACAGUAGUGGC
Long non-coding RNA from Gallus gallus (chicken), 2109 nucleotides. NCBI's taxonomy places the organism in Eukaryota, Metazoa, Chordata, Aves, Galliformes, Phasianidae. The record is from Ensembl.